Molecule: ribosomal RNA, 253 nt
Filed under: uncultured Parabacteroides sp.
Lineage: Bacteria; Pseudomonadati; Bacteroidota; Bacteroidia; Bacteroidales; Tannerellaceae
Description: partial 16S ribosomal RNA
Rfam family: Bacterial small subunit ribosomal RNA
Source: RNAcentral
UACGGGGGAUGCGAGCGUUAUCCGGAUUUAUUGGGUUUAAAGGGUGCGUAGGUUGUUUUUUAAGUCAGCGGUGAAAGUCUGUGGCUCAACCAUAGAAUUGCCGUUGAAACUGGGGGGCUUGAGUAUGUUUGAGGUAGGCGGAAUGCGUGGUGUAGCGGUGAAAUGCAUAGAUAUCACGCAGAACUCCGAUUGCGAAGGCAGCUUACUAAGCCAUAACUGACACUGAAGCACGAAAGCGUGGGGAUCAAACAGG